CCUACGGGGUGCACCAGUGGGGAAUAUUGCACAAUGGGCGCAAGCCUGAUGCAACCAUGCCGCGUGUAUGAAGAAGGCCUUCGGGUUGUAAAGUACUUUCAGCGAGGAGGAAGGCAUUAAGGUCAAUAACCUUGGUGAUUGACGUUACUCGCAGAAGAAGCACCGGCUAACUCCGUGCCAGCAGCCGCGGUAAUACGGAGGGUGCAAGCGUUAAUCGGAAUUACUGGGCGUAAAGCGCACGCAGGCGGUCUGUCAAGUCGGAUGUGAAAUCCCGGGGCUCAACCUGGGGACUGCAUUCGAAACUGGCAGGCUAGAGUCUUGUAGAGGGGGGUAGAAUUCCAGGUGUAGCGGUGAAAUGCGUAGAGAUCUGGAGGAAUACCGGUGGCGAAGGCGGCCCCCUGGACAAAGACUGACGCUCAGGUGCGAAAGCGUGGGGAGCAAACAGGAUUAGAUACCCCAGUAGUC
Molecule: ribosomal RNA, 465 nt
Filed under: uncultured bacterium
Lineage: Bacteria
Description: bacterial SSU rRNA
Rfam family: Bacterial small subunit ribosomal RNA
Source: RNAcentral